Molecule: ribosomal RNA, 254 nt
Filed under: uncultured bacterium
Lineage: Bacteria
Description: partial 16S ribosomal RNA
Rfam family: Bacterial small subunit ribosomal RNA
Source: RNAcentral
UACGUAGGGUCCGAGCGUUGUCCGGAAUUACUGGGCGUAAAGAGCUCGUAGGCGGUGUGUCGCGUCGGCCGUGAAAACCUGCAGCUUAACUGUGGGCUUGCGGUCGAUACGGGCAGGCUAGAGUUCGGUAGGGGAGACUGGAAUUCCUGGUGUAGCGGUGAAAUGCGCAGAUAUCAGGAGGAACACCGAUGGCGAAGGCAGGGUCUCUGGGCCACUACUGACGCUGAGAAGCGAAAGCAUGGGGAGCGAACAGG